RNAcentral lists this long non-coding RNA (404 nucleotides) under Equus caballus (horse). RNAcentral's name for it is "lncRNA (ENSECAG00000048569.1)". The record is from RNAcentral. Lineage: Eukaryota; Metazoa; Chordata; Mammalia; Perissodactyla; Equidae.
CGGGGUUUGAGAAGAUUGACUCCAAUUUAGAAAGAAGUUCUACUGGGGGUAAAAUUCUGUCAAACAGCAUCGCAUGCUACAGAGAAAACAUUCAUGAAAAGAAGAGGCAAUCGAUGUGGUAAACUUCACGGUUAUCUUCUUUUAAGAAAUUGCCACAGCCACGCCAGCUUUCAGUAACCACUACCCUGAUCAGUCAGCAGCCAUCAACAUUAAGCAAUGCACAGACACAGGGAGCGUGAACAGUGAUCUCACCUACUUCUGUCAUACCUAUUCAUCCCAAGAACACUGGUAUGAAAACCCCAGUUCUCAAGCAAAGCCUACGCUACUCUGAUGGAAGUAGUCUUCACUCAUGGCCUUGCACUGUCCCGUCAAACCAUCGCUGGACAACUUGUGACAUCUCUCAG